UUGUAAAUGUAUCGUUGAGAUUCAUUAUGCCACAAGAGGAGAGGGGGAGGGAGAUCACCUUGAGAAAUUCGAGGAAACUGAGAAAUUUGCGCCUGCAAUGAGCAAAAAAAUAUGAAACGGAGAUUGACAAAUAUAUGUUGCGGGUCAAGACGGGAGGACCAACGAAAAACCUUUAGUCCAAAUGUGCGAGACACCCAUUGACGGCGGUGGUGACAGGCUCGGGCAGCCAUUGGCGGCGGCUGUGCCAUGGCUAUGGUCGGGGGAAAGGAGAGCUUGUGUGGAGACGGGAGGGGGGAGAUGCGGAGGGUGCCGGCGCGGCGCGGUGGCGGACGACAUGGCCGUGGUCUUGAGCCACUGCGGCCGUAGGGUUCAGUAGAUAAGAGGAAGGGCGAGGGAGAAUCGGGGGUUGAGACGGCGGUGGCGGUCUUAGACGUUGCUCACCGGGAACUGCAGGAAGGGAGGAGAGGGCGGAUUGCAUGAAAGAGAGGGAGGAGCGGCGAUUUCGCCGUCCCCAAGGAAGGCGGCGGACUGUGUUGUG
RNAcentral lists this long non-coding RNA (538 nucleotides) under Salvia miltiorrhiza (redroot sage). Its description in RNAcentral is "long non-coding RNA (SMIL_LNC005571)". Lineage: Eukaryota; Viridiplantae; Streptophyta; Magnoliopsida; Lamiales; Lamiaceae. The record is from RNAcentral.